AGCGAACGCUGGCGGCAGGCUUAACACAUGCAAGUCGAACGGGCGUAGCAAUACGUCAGUGGCAGACGGGUGAGUAACGCGUGGGAACGUACCUUUUGGUUCGGAACAACCCAGGGAAACUUGGGCUAAUACCGGGAUAAGCCCUUACGGGGAAAGAUUUAUCGCCGAAAGAUCGGCCCGCGUCUGAUUAGCUAGUUGGUGAGGUAACGGCUCACCAAGGCGACGAUCAGUAGCUGGUCUGAGAGGANGAUCAGCCACAUUGGGACUGAGACACGGCCCAAACUCCUACGGGAGGCAGCAGUGGGGAAUAUUGGACAAUGGGCGCAAGCCUGAUCCAGCCAUGCCGCGUGAGUGA
Molecule: ribosomal RNA, 355 nt
Filed under: uncultured bacterium
Lineage: Bacteria
Description: bacterial SSU rRNA
Rfam family: Bacterial small subunit ribosomal RNA
Source: RNAcentral